UACGUAGGGUGCGAGCGUUAAUCGGAAUUACUGGGCGUAAAGCGUGCGCAGGCGGUUUUGUAAGACAGGCGUGAAAUCCCCGGGCUCAACCUGGGAAUGGCGCUUGUGACUGCAAAGCUGGAGUGCGGCAGAGGGGGAUGGAAUUCCGCGUGUAGCAGUGAAAUGCGUAGAUAUGCGGAGGAACACCAAUGGCGAAGGCAAUCCCCCUGGGGCCCGUCG
This 219-nucleotide ribosomal RNA is filed under the name uncultured bacterium. Its description in RNAcentral is "partial 16S ribosomal RNA". It matches the Rfam family "Bacterial small subunit ribosomal RNA", at positions 524 to 741 of the family's 1533-position model. The record is from RNAcentral.